GGCAGAUGGGAUCCAACAGGGCCGGCAGAUAGCCGCUUAAUUCAGCCUCGGAGUCCUUUCCCACUCUGCUCCAGGGCCCCUGGAAACAGAAAAAUCAGAAAACUGUGAAAGGCAAGAACCAUCACACCUGAGUGGCCUUCAGGGAAAGCAGUUCUGCAGGGGGACCAGUGCAAUGGGAUUUGGCUGCGCAGCUUCCGUUGGCUGGUGAGAUUCACAGACAGGCUUUACUGAAUCUGAGGAACUGCAGAUCUUGCUGGCCUCGAUAGAGAUCUGGGGAGCUCAUCCUUGGUCGCCCUUGGGUGUCGGCCCCGCUCUCUGAUGGCCGCAGUCUGUGAAUUACUUAUGAGAACUGCUGGGCCCCCAACUGCCACCCCAAGGGGAGCUCCAAGGAUGCUGUCAUGUUGGCGUGUUCCAUGGGCUGCUGGUCUUCCGUAUUCCUAUCUAUUCUUUUACACUGGGUUUUAUAUUUGC
Molecule: long non-coding RNA, 471 nt
Filed under: Equus asinus (donkey)
Lineage: Eukaryota; Metazoa; Chordata; Mammalia; Perissodactyla; Equidae
Description: lncRNA (ENSEASG00005037454.1, ENSEASG00020009554.1)
Source: RNAcentral